GACGAACGCUGGCGGCGUGCUUAACACAUGCAAGUCGAACGGAAAGGCCCUGCUUUUGUGGGGUGCUCGAGUGGCGAACGGGUGAGUAACACGUGAGUAACCUGCCCUUGACUUUCGGAUAACUUCAGGAAACUGGGGCUAAUACCGGAUAGGAGCUCCUGCUGCAUGGUGGGGGUUGGAAAGUUUCGGCGGUUGUGGAUGGACUCGCGGCUUAUCAGCUUGUUGGUGGGGUAGUGGCUUACCAAGGCUUUGACGGGUAGCCGGCCUGGGAGGGUGACCGGCCACAUGGGGACUGCGGUACGGACCAGACUCCUACGGGAGGCAGCAGUGGGGAAUAUUGCACAAUGGGCGGAAGCCUGAUGCAGCAACGCCGCGUGCGGGAUGACGGCCUUCGGGUUGUAAACCGCUUUCGCCUGUGACGAAGCGUGAGUGACGGUAAUGGGUAAAGAAGCACCGGCUAACUACGUG
Molecule: ribosomal RNA, 468 nt
Filed under: uncultured bacterium
Lineage: Bacteria
Description: partial 16S ribosomal RNA
Rfam family: Bacterial small subunit ribosomal RNA
Source: RNAcentral